This 831-nucleotide ribosomal RNA is filed under the name Triticum aestivum (bread wheat). RNAcentral's name for it is "partial small subunit ribosomal RNA". The record is from RNAcentral. Lineage: Eukaryota; Viridiplantae; Streptophyta; Magnoliopsida; Poales; Poaceae.
AUGGGGUGCAAGUCGUGCCAGAAGCCCAAGGCGCAGCACCGCAAGGGGCUGUGGUCGCCGGAGGAGGACCAGAAGCUCCGCGACUACAUCGUCCGCUACGGCCACAGCUGCUGGAGCACCGUCCCCGUCAAGGCCGGGCUUCAGAGGAACGGGAAGAGCUGCAGGCUGCGAUGGAUCAACUACCUGAGGCCGGGGCUGAAGCACGGCAUGUUCUCCCGGGAGGAAGAGGAGACCGUCAUGAGCCUCCAUGCCACACUCGGCAACAAGUGGUCUCAGAUAGCGCAGCACCUGCCGGGCCGGACGGACAACGAGGUGAAGAACUACUGGAACUCGUACCUGAAGAAGCGCGUCGAGGGCGCGCGGGCACCAGCCAAGUCCGCCGGCUCCGACGCGCCCCGGAGCCCGAUGCCCAGCGACAGCGGCCGCGAACGCAGCACCGUUAACCAGCCGUCCAACUCCGGCUCGUCGGGCCCGCCUGAGUCCUCGUCGACGGCCGACGACUCGAGCAGCCUCACCGGGCCCGACGCGGCGGCCGCCUUGAUCCGGCCGCACGCGCCGGUGCUCCCCAAGGUCAUGUUCGCGGACUGGCUCGACAUGGACAUGGACUACGGCACCGGCCUGAUGGCUCCGAGAACCCUGGACGCCGCCUUCGACUGCAGCCCGGCGCAGCAGGGCGCGAGCAGCACGGUGGACGGUCGUUGCGGCGCCGUGGACUCGUUGCACGGGCUCGGCGACGGCGGCAUCUGCUGGGAGUUCGAGGCGGACAUGCAGGGCGGAGGAGCAGGGUUCUGCGACCUGCUCUCCAUGAGCGAGUUCCUCGGGAUCAACUAG